UCCAUUUUCCUCUCGCGACCUCGUGGCGGUCUGCGCGCGCUUCCUCCUCGGUGGAGGUACGGGCAUGUCCCCGCGAGGCCUUCGCUUCGGCGCCGAGCGCGAAACGCGGCCCUUAGGAAAGUAUCCGCGCGAUUUGGGAUGCGAGUCGAGUUUCCCACGGAAAAAGAAAAUGCACCCGGGGCCCGAAACUAAUGCAGGGUCUCCACGUCGCCCUGGGAAUGCGGGCAUUGAGGACGCUGGAAAAUAAAACCGUUUUAUUAUUAUUUUUUCCUUCUUGGUGCCCUUGACCACUGAGCCUCGUCCCCAGCCCUUUAGUGUUUUUUUUUUUUUCUUUUUAAACUUAAGAAAGGGCCUCGCUGAGUUGCUUAAGCCCUCUCUAAGUCCUGAGGCUGGCUUUGAACCCGCGAUCCUUCUGUCUCAGCCUCCCGAGCCGCCGGGAUUAGAGGCGUUGCAACGCACCGCCCUUGGCUGAAAAUAAAAUUAUUUAUUAGAGAUGUUCGUUGAAUGUAAUGGUAACAAUUUAUUUUUAUUUAUGUUUUCAAUGGUACUGGGGACAGUCCAGCCCUUUAACUUUUUCAGAUGGUCUUCAGCAGCCCGGGUUGGCCUCGAACUUGGGACCCAUUUGCGCAGCUUCCGUGGUACAGUCCUGUGGCUAACGUUAUUUUUAACCAUAAAAUAGUACAUGUUUCCUAAUAUUAAACAUGGAAAGAAAGAAAUGAUAAGCUAGCGUUCGCUGACUGCUUAAAACCAGCCAAGCUUGGCCGGGUGCACGCCUGUCAUCAGGGUGACUCUGGAGGCAGGCACUGGGGAUGUGGUUCAGUGGUUAAGCGUCCCGGGUUCAACCCCAGGUUACACACUGGGGGAUAAAAAACCCGGAACUUCAAUUGAGCACAAGUAUACUAUUUAUGGUAACAUAGAAAUAAUUGCCGUUUUUUAAGAGGUUUUGUUUUUGUUGUUGUUUUAGAUACUGGGGAUUGAACACUGGGACACUUUACCACCCAUCUAUAUUCCCUACCCUUUCUUAUUUUUUGAGAGAUUCUUGUUAAGUUGCCUGGACUGGCCUGGAAUUUGUAGUCUUCAGCCUCUUCGAGUUGCUAGGAUUAUACACCUGUCUCAGGGGGUGUAUUAUUUUCAGAAAAGUAAUAGGGGAAUGAUUAGAACAUUGUAAAGUAUUUUUAAAUUUAUUGUGAAAACGAGCCUGGUGUAGUGGUGCACACCUGAAAUUCUAGCAGCUCAGGAGACUGAGGCAGAAGGAUCACAAGUUUAAAGCCAUCCUCAGUAACUUAGUGAGACCUCAUCUUUAAAUUUAAAAUAUAUAUAUAGAUAGAGGGCUGGGAAUGUGGCUCAGUGGUUAAACAUCCCUAGUGGGUUCAAUACCUGGUAGCAAAAAAUUAAAAUAAAAUUCAUUGUGAAAUGGCAUAAACCUUGCAGCAAAAAUUACUUGUAAGCUUGGCUCAGUGGCAUAGGCCUGGAGGCUGAGGCAGGAGGAUCACAAAUUCAAGGCAAGCCUCAGCAGUUUUAGCAAGGCCCUAAGUAACUUAGACCCUAUCUCUAUAUAGGGGCUGGGAUUGUGGCUCAGCAGUAGAGCACUUGCCUAGUGUGUGGGAAGCCCUGGGUUCGAUCCUCAGCACCACAUAAAAAAUAAAUAAAAUAUUUAAAAAGAUAUUUUAAAAAAUAAAAAUAAAGGGCUGGGAAUGUGGUUUUGAUUAAGCACCACUGGGUUCAAUCCCCA
Molecule: long non-coding RNA, 1732 nt
Filed under: Marmota monax (woodchuck)
Lineage: Eukaryota; Metazoa; Chordata; Mammalia; Rodentia; Sciuridae
Rfam family: tRNA (bases 1565-1633)
Source: RNAcentral